GAUGAACGCUGGCGGCGUGUCUAAGGCAUGCAAGUCGAAUGGGUUAGACCCAUGGCAAACGGGUGAGUAACACAUUGGUAACCUACCCCUGAUUCGUGAAUAACUCGGAGAAAUCUGGGAUAAUACACGAUGGUCUCUGAUUUCACAUGAAAUAGGAGUAAAGAUUUAUCGAUCAGGGAGGGGCCUAUGGCCUAUCAGCUUGUUGGUAGUGUAAAAGACUACCAAGGCUCUGACGGGUAGCGGGUGUGAGAGCAUGACCCGCCUCACGGGGACUGAGACACUGCCCUGACUCCUACGGGAGGCUGCAGUCAAGAAUCUUCCACAAUGGCCGAAAGGCUGAUGGAGCGACGCCGCGUGACCGAAGAAGCCCUUUGGGGUGUAAAGGUCUUUUAUAAGGGACGAAUCAAUGACGGUACCUUAUGAAUAAGGGGCUGCUAAUCACG
RNAcentral lists this ribosomal RNA (443 nucleotides) under uncultured bacterium. RNAcentral describes it as "bacterial SSU rRNA". It matches the Rfam family "Bacterial small subunit ribosomal RNA", at positions 28 to 505 of the family's 1533-position model. The record is from RNAcentral.